AUACGGAGGGUGCAAGCGUUACUCGGAAUCACUGUGCGUAAAGCGCGCGCAGGCGGUCUUUUAAGUUGGAUGUGAAAGCCUACGGCUCAACCGUAGAACUGCAUCCAAAACUAUUAGACUAGAGUGUGGGAGAGGAAGAUGGAAUUAGUUGUGUAGGGGUAAAAUCCGUAGAGAUAACUAGGAAUACCAAAAGCGAAGGCAAUCUUCUGGAACACUACUGACGCUGAGGCGCGAAAGCGUGGGGAGCAAACAGGAUUAGAAACCCCAGUAGUCC
RNAcentral lists this ribosomal RNA (274 nucleotides) under uncultured bacterium. Its description in RNAcentral is "partial 16S ribosomal RNA". It matches the Rfam family "Bacterial small subunit ribosomal RNA", at positions 523 to 796 of the family's 1533-position model. The record is from RNAcentral.